UUUUUAUGAUGAUACUAUUUCAAUCUGAUCCUUGAUGUUCAAACAUUAACGAGCUUUUUAACACUGAAAAAA
Molecule: small nucleolar RNA, 72 nt
Organism: Diorhabda sublineata
Lineage: Eukaryota; Metazoa; Arthropoda; Insecta; Coleoptera; Chrysomelidae
Source: RefSeq, a predicted model, not a curated record